AAUAAAUAUGAUUAUAAUAAAUGUUUACUAUAUAUUGAAAAUUACAAAAUCUGCAAAAAAUUUUGGGCAAAGAUAAUAAACUACCGAAAGAUAAAAAAUAUAAAACCUUAUAUUCCUUUACCAGAAGAACGACAAAAAA
Molecule: long non-coding RNA, 139 nt
Organism: Apis florea (little honeybee)
Lineage: Eukaryota; Metazoa; Arthropoda; Insecta; Hymenoptera; Apidae
Source: RefSeq, a predicted model, not a curated record